UACGUAGGGUGCAAGCGUUGUCCGGAAUUAUUGGGCGUAAAGAGCUCGUAGGCGGUUUGUCGCGUCUGCUGUGAAAACGCGAGGCUCAACCUCGCGCCUGCAGUGGGUACGGGCAGACUAGAGUGCGGUAGGGGAGAUUGGAAUUCCGGGUGUAGCGGUGGAAUGCGCAGAUAUCAGGAGGAACACCGAUGGCGAAGGCAGAUCUCUGGGCCGUAACUGACGCUGAGGAGCGAAAGCGUGGGGAGCGAACAGG
This 253-nucleotide ribosomal RNA is filed under the name uncultured bacterium. Its description in RNAcentral is "partial 16S ribosomal RNA". It matches the Rfam family "Bacterial small subunit ribosomal RNA", at positions 524 to 776 of the family's 1533-position model. The record is from RNAcentral.